Molecule: unclassified non-coding RNA, 804 nt
Filed under: Hevea brasiliensis (rubber tree)
Lineage: Eukaryota; Viridiplantae; Streptophyta; Magnoliopsida; Malpighiales; Euphorbiaceae
Source: RNAcentral
ACCAUAUCCUGAUAAAAUCUACUAUAAUUUUCAACCCCCACUUUUGUCCCUCUUCACAAUGCCUAAUCAGGCAAGAUUCCUAUUUUAGUCCCAGAUCCACUGGGUACUAACCACAAGAACAAAGAAAAAUCACUAAUAUUACAAAUCUCACCAAUAUCUGUACAAAAUUCGAAAACCUGGCUGUAGUAGUGUGUAACGUGGAAUUGCGACCAAAUGGACUACCACUGUUUGAUCCUCCUCUAUAUCCGGAUUGGUAGUCCAAAAUUUUGGAAAGUCCUGAUUUCCCCUCUUCGGCCUGCAGUUACAAUGACAAAACCCCAAGCAGACUUGGAUUGGUUUAAACCAUUGGAGAAGUCGACACUAGUAUCUACACUGACACGAGGGCUACGAUUUUUAGUAGCUAAAAGGAGUUUUUCCUCGGGCCAUGUUGCUGAGAAUUUAUCAAAGAAGUAGCUGUUCAUGGCACCACUUAAAGUCCCAUGAAGAGGACUGUUACUGCAGCCAGAUACCAGAGGUGAGCACUCGGUGCCAUUCUCUUCAAUGGGUGUAGGAGGAUGGUUGGCAGUGGAAACCUCAUCGAGAUGAUCAGCAUGCCCAUUUUGCUCCCCUAACGAGGAAUCGGGAAGUUUCAGAUUAUCAGAUAAGCCAGGCCAAGGUAUGGCCACUGAAACAUCUUGACAAUGGAAAUGCUCGUACGACUGUGUAAUGGUAACGCCUCUAUUCCUGCUUGGCCGAGAAUCACCUUCAUGUUUCCAGAUAUAGACAUGUGAGUCCUCACUGGCACAGACCACAUAUCUACCAUCA